Molecule: ribosomal RNA, 253 nt
Filed under: uncultured bacterium
Lineage: Bacteria
Description: partial 16S ribosomal RNA
Rfam family: Bacterial small subunit ribosomal RNA
Source: RNAcentral
UACAGAGGGGGCUAGCGUUAUUCGGAAUUAUUGGGCGUAAAGGGCGCGUAGGCGGCCAUGCGUGUCUUCCGUGAAAUCCCUCGGCUUAACUGAGGACGUGCGGAAGAAACUGCAAGGCUUGAGUCCGGGAGAGGGGGGUGGAAUUCCUAGUGUAGGAGUGAAAUCCGUAGAUAUUAGGAGGAACACCGGUGGCGAAGGCGGCUACCUGGACCGAUAUUGACGCUGAGACGCGAAAGCGUGGGGAGCAAACAGG